RNAcentral lists this ribosomal RNA (492 nucleotides) under uncultured bacterium. Its description in RNAcentral is "partial 16S ribosomal RNA". It matches the Rfam family "Bacterial small subunit ribosomal RNA", at positions 29 to 507 of the family's 1533-position model. The record is from RNAcentral.
AGUGAACGCUGGCGGUAGGCCUAACACAUGCAAGUCGAACGGCAGCACAGUAAGAGCUUGCUCUUACGGGUGGCGAGUGGCGGACGGGUGAGGAAUACAUCGGAAUCUACUUUUUCGUGGGGGAUAACGUAGGGAAACUUACGCUAAUACCGCAUACGACCUACGGGUGAAAGCAGGGGAUCUUCGGACCUUGCGCGAUUGAAUGAGCCGAUGCCGGAUUAGCUAGUUGGCGGGGUAAAGGCCCACCAAGGCGACGAUCCGUAGCUGGUCUGAGAGGAUGAUCAGCCACACUGGAACUGAGACACGGUCCAGACUCCUACGGGAGGCAGCAGUGGGGAAUAUUGGACAAUGGGCGCAAGCCUGAUCCAGCCAUACCGCGUGGGUGAAGAAGGCCUUCGGUUUGUAAAGCCCUUUUGUUGGGAAAGAAAAGCAGCAGGUUAAUACCCCGCUGUUCUGACGGUACCCAAAGAAUAAGCACCGGCUAACUUCGUG